GUAGGUAAGUGAUAUCAUAUCCAUUCCGAUAAACCCACCAGUACUAACUAAAUCAUAGGUGAACCUGCGGAAGGAUCAUUACUGGGUUUAGGACUUCGUGUCCACUCACCCGCCCUUUGUCAUGAGACGCGAAAGCAACUCACAUCAUUUCGAUCCCUGGCUCUUGGGCGCCCCCUACUAUUAGCUUAGUGGGGUACCGUCCAUUAGCCGCGGGUCGGCAUUACAAACCCACGCGGAUUACUGAAGUCUG
RNAcentral lists this unclassified non-coding RNA (250 nucleotides) under plant metagenome. Its description in RNAcentral is "partial contains small subunit ribosomal RNA, internal transcribed spacer 1, and 5.8S ribosomal RNA". The record is from RNAcentral.